CUCAAGGAGUUUUUGUGGGAAGGUGUGAACAAAGCCAGCAACAAACUAACACAGCACCCCAAGAGGGAAGAAGGUGAGUGGAGCAAAAAGGCUAAAACAAAGGAGAUAGAUCUCUGAGAGAGGGUAUCUGGGACAGCAAGCCAACGUGAGAUAGUCUCUCUGUCUCAUACAGAGGCAGAGAAAGUGACUGGUGCCACAUGCUAUCAGGGAUCACUCCAAAGAUAGCAAACCCAACACUGUGCACACAUUGCCUUCCAUCAGUGUCACAGACUCCCCUGCCGCCUCCACCCCCAUCCUCCAGCCACAAUCCUGCAACGUGCUACAAAACACAGUGCUGCCCUCAUACUCACCUUACUCGUCUCCUGACUGUCAGGAUCAAAUGGCACCUGCUUCACCGACAGCUCACGGCCAGUGUCAGCAUCAUAGCAGAGAUAAACUUCCCCAAAAGCUCCUCUUCCAAGCAGCUUCCCCAGCCUCCAGUUCACAGGUGCCUGCAGGGCUACAGUAGAGAGGAGAGGACUGAGAAAAGAGCACAGCAGGGAGACUUCAGCAUCAGGGUCCAUUUAUCAGGUCUGCAAUGUUCUCAACAGGGCAGCUGUACCAUCAUCCUUGUAAGACAAGGAAGGGGCAGCCUCCAGACCCAUUUGUUCCCAUGUCCCAAAUCUCCUGGAAGAUUCUGCUGUGUGAGCACAGUAAGAGGAAAAUGCACAAGCAAUUUUCUGCAACUCGGCCAGUUACGAAAAACAGCUGACCCUGCAGGCACUCUACUCAAGGCCAAGAUUUCCUGCAGGAUAAGAGCACGGCGAAUCGAAGUCCAACUGAAGUAAGGCCAAGAUCAAGGAGGGAGAAUCUCCUGAGCGCUGCAGUGCACAUAAUGAGCUGGCUUUCCACCAGCCCGAAAAACAAAACCAGUUGGGAAGUAUGGCAUCCUCCCCUUGAAGAUAAAUAAACAAAUGCUUAACCAUUAAGAGUUGGGGCACGCUGGAGAAAUCACCGUUAUCAUCUCAUUCGUGCUGCAUAAAGACAUCGGGGGGCUCUUGCUCCAAAAAGCCUCUCACUGGUCUGUCGUGGUGUUCCUGCUGUGCCUUAGCUCUGCUGAGCAUCUCUAUUCCUGCUGCUCCCAAGGUUGGGUCAGCUCGUGCACUGAUGUCAUCCCUCACUGCCACAACCCA
This 1172-nucleotide long non-coding RNA is filed under the name Gallus gallus (chicken). Its description in RNAcentral is "long non-coding RNA NONGGAT003687". The record is from RNAcentral. Lineage: Eukaryota; Metazoa; Chordata; Aves; Galliformes; Phasianidae.